CAGAGUCCUCAGGAGUUAGCCGAUAAGAAAGCUUACAUGAUUUUCAAAGCUGAAAAUAUUUUUAAAGCAGUAAAUGCAUAAGUAAAGCACUUAAGUAACUUCUUCUGUCCCCCCGGGAAGCCGCUUGCAUGGGAGAAGAAGUUAAAAAGACGGGACCAGGAGAAAGAGAAGCUGUUGGCAAAGGUUCGUGCCUCUGGCAGAGAGGUCCCAGGCUGAAGAAGAAAGCUGAGGGGGCAUUUGCCUGCUGCAGAAGCUCUUUGUGCUGCCUCAGCUGCUACAGUGCCAGUGCACGACCUGCAGCCUUCCUGGUGUUCAGACUCCACCCUGCAUGCUUCCUGCAGGGCUCACUCCCCUUCCCGGGAUAAGCACUGCGAGACGAUGGCUGGUGAGGCAGGGGACAGGGACUCUUGCUGCCCUGUGCCAGGGCAUGUUGAUGCAUCCCCUUAUUUCCCUUCAGGGUCAGGAUUAGUAUUCAUGACUUCAGGAGGGGUGUGAAGCCCCAGCUAUGCUCAUGGCCUCCAGCCAUGCUACAUGAGCCUGGAUAUGGAGCAGCCCUGCCCAAAAGGCUGAUGCAGCCUAGGGAUGUGCUCCACAUGUGCUCCUACAGUAUGCCUGUAGGGACACAGGGAUGCUCUUAGGGAGGGGAGACACUGGAGAGACCACCUCCUCCUCACCCUGUGUGAACAAUGCAUCCACAGCCCCUCCUCUACCUGCCCAACUCCACCUCUGGCUUGGGUUCUUUUCCUCAGGAGCAGCCCCUACUGCAGACACAAGCUUGCUGAGCUCUAUUCUUGGGGGACAGACUCAAGGAGACCAUGAGUAUCUGAGAGGCAAUGUCUGUCCUACCACCGGAGCAGGGCAAGGAGACUCAGCUGGAUGAGAAAUGGAUGCUUCCAAGACCAGGCAAGAGCUGGACCUGCUGACAAAAGCUCUAAUUCCCCUUCAGUUAUCUAGAAACCACCUCAGAGCAUCUGAGUAAGCAUCUGCCAGCAUCCAGAGCAAAGAAGCACUUCAUAGCUCACAGAUUACACAGAACACAGGAACAUAAGGGGAACAUAGUCUUUGUUUCUGCUGGGAAAAAAAUCAAGCCAGCAAAGACUUUCUUCAGUUUUGAUGGUCAUUUUCUGAGGGUAGCUAUGUCCCUACCUGCAGCUGAUGUUGGAGACACUGAAAUAUAAGAAAGCAAAGAUAAAAUUCACUCUUAAAAAUUAGUCAGCUACUCCAUUCCCUGAUCUUCAUGUCAUCCGUCAUUGUGCUUUGUGCAGUCUUACACUGAUCAAGCAAUUUCCUUUUUUUUUUUUGCUAAGAUGAACAUUCUUGCUGUGACUGAUACUUGUUCUGGUAGUUGGAAGAUAUGAGUGUAAACCAGAGCACUAUUAUGCUGCACUGGGAAUGUAGAUUUCAUGAGUGAGUGGGCUUUGGCUUCAAAUGUGCUUAUAAGCAAGGCAGGUUUUGAUUUAGUCAGGAUCAGUAUUAUAUACUGAAGUAUUUACUCAGUAGGAUCUUCUUGAAAGAAAGAAAAAUUUUUAAUAUUACAAAACUCUGUGUGUCGAUGACUCAGCUCCCAGUGAUUCAUACUCUACACUCAUAUUUCAUUUAGUUUUCACAUCCUGAGGAUCUGGGUCUUGAGAUGACACUUUUACAUGGCUGGAAGAUUUAUCACAAUGCAGGACAAAGAUAAGCCCAUUUGUUUUUUGCCUUGGCUUGCCAAAAUCCACUCCCUCCUGCUCAGUACUUAGCUAUGUGAAACUUGGUGAUAAGAAGCUCCACCCCUGAUUUUGUGGCUUGU
This is a long non-coding RNA of Vidua chalybeata, 1789 nucleotides long. RefSeq lists it as uncharacterized. The transcript has 3 exons. The record is from RefSeq and is a predicted model, not a curated record. NCBI's taxonomy places the organism in Eukaryota, Metazoa, Chordata, Aves, Passeriformes, Viduidae.